This 440-nucleotide ribosomal RNA is filed under the name uncultured bacterium. RNAcentral describes it as "partial 16S ribosomal RNA". It matches the Rfam family "Bacterial small subunit ribosomal RNA", at positions 338 to 795 of the family's 1533-position model. The record is from RNAcentral.
CCUACGGGAGGCAGCAGUGGGGGAUAUUGCACAAUGGGGGGAACCCUGAUGCAGCGACGCCGCGUGAGUGAAGAAGUGUUUCGGUGUGUAAAGCUCUGUCAGCAGGGAAGAAAAUGACGGUACCUGGCUAAGAAGCCCCGGCUAACUACGUGCCAGCAGCCGCGGUAAUACGGAGGGGGCAAGCGUUAUCCGGAUUUACUGGGGGUAAAGGGAGCGUAGACGGCAGUACAAGUCUGGAGUGAAAUGCCGGGGCCUAACCCCGGAACUGCUUUGGAAACUGGGGAGCUAGAGUGCAGGAGAGGUAAGUGGAAUUCCUGGUGUAGCGGUGAAAUGCGUAGAUAUUAGGAGGAACACCGGUGGCGAAGGCGGCCUACUGGACUGUAACUGACGUUGAGGCCCGAAAGCGUGGGGAGCAAACAGGAUUAGAUACCCGGGUAGUC